CCCUGUUGAGCUUGACUCUAGUCUGGCUUUGUGAACUGACUUGAGAGGCGUAGAAUAAGUGGGAGAGCAAUCGCAAGUGAAAUACCACUACUCUUGACGUCAGUUUACUUAUCACGUUAAAUAGAACUUUGCAACGGUUUUACCGAAGCAUGAAACUUCUGGAUUUAAGUGAGUCCGAUUACGGUGCUCAUGAUCUAUGCGCGAGACAGUGUCAGAUGGGGAGUUUGGCUGGGGCGGCACAUCUGUUAAAAGAUAACACAGGUGUCCUAAGAGGAGCUCAAUGAGAACAGAAAUCUCAUGUAGAACAAAAGGGUAAAAGCUCCUUUGAUUUUGAUUUUCAGUAUGAAUACAAACUGUGAAAGCAUGGCCUAUCGAUCCUUUAGUCUUUAGAAACUUUAAGCUAGAGGUGUCAGAAAAGUUACCACAGGGAUAACUGGCUUGUGGCAGCCAAGCGUUCAUAGCGACGUUGCUUUUUGAUCCUUCGAUGUCGGCUCUU
This 496-nucleotide ribosomal RNA is filed under the name uncultured organism. RNAcentral describes it as "eukaryotic LSU rRNA". It matches the Rfam family "Eukaryotic large subunit ribosomal RNA", at positions 2411 to 2892 of the family's 3401-position model. The record is from RNAcentral.